This 542-nucleotide long non-coding RNA is filed under the name Lupinus angustifolius (narrow-leaved blue lupine). RNAcentral describes it as "long non-coding RNA (LANG_LNC003400)". Lineage: Eukaryota; Viridiplantae; Streptophyta; Magnoliopsida; Fabales; Fabaceae. The record is from RNAcentral.
UUUUAUUCACAAAAAACAUGUACAAGAAACCCGCACAAGUACAUAGAAGCGAGAUGAUAGUAAAUAAAGAAGACAAAAAAGCAGAUAAGAAAAGGGUUGUAGUUUCAAGUUCCAUGGUAAGAAGUUAAGAACUAAGAAGUACCUAUAUAAUAUACAAUAUACAUAGAGACAUAUGUAUUAAUAUUCUAAUUAUAUUAUUAUAUCUAAGACUUGCCAACUAAUAUAGUUCUCUCUCCUCCCAAACCUAGUGGUGACCUUAAACCAUUUCUUGAGACAUCUCUAAUAAGGGCACGCCUCAUUUGUAGUUGUAGUGAUGGUUCUUUGAAUUUGGCUAUUUCUUGCUUAAUCUUUAACACUUGGCUAUGAACUGCAUGACCCAUAUUCCUUUCUGCACUAUGCUUCUUCAUGUUGUUGUUGCUCACCUUGGUGUUGUGCUCCAUAUUCUUCUAUUACCAAAAUAUGAUGGAGUCCUUGACACAGAACUAUUUCCCUUGAUGGGAAUAUGAGUGAUGGGUUAUGAUUUUCGCAAGAGCCUAUUGAAG